GAUGAACGCUGGCGGCGUGCCUAAUACAUGCAAGUCGAGCGAACAGACGAGGAGCUUGCUCCUCUGACGUUAGCGGCGGACGGGUGAGUAACACGUGGAUAACCUACCUAUAAGACUGGGAUAACUUCGGGAAACCGGAGCUAAUACCGGAUAAUAUAUUGAACCGCAUGGUUCAAUAGUGAAAGACGGUUUUGCUGUCACUUAUAGAUGGAUCCGCGCCGCAUUAGCUAGUUGGUAAGGUAACGGCUUACCAAGGCAACGAUGCGUAGCCGACCUGAGAGGGUGAUCGCCCACACUGGAACAUACACCCGCCCGACCCCCCCACGGGAGGCAGCAGGGGGGAUUUUCCCGCAAAGGGCGAAACCCUGAGGGACCAACCCCGCGGGAGAAAGAAAGGUGUUCGGACCAAAAAACUCUUUUAUUAGGGAAAAACAAAUUUGAAAGUACAUAUGCCCGCCUGGACGUUCCAUAAUAAAAAGCCCACGGCAAACUACGUG
This 497-nucleotide ribosomal RNA is filed under the name uncultured bacterium. RNAcentral describes it as "partial 16S ribosomal RNA". It matches the Rfam family "Bacterial small subunit ribosomal RNA", at positions 28 to 507 of the family's 1533-position model. The record is from RNAcentral.